RNAcentral lists this ribosomal RNA (388 nucleotides) under uncultured bacterium. RNAcentral's name for it is "bacterial SSU rRNA". It matches the Rfam family "Bacterial small subunit ribosomal RNA", at positions 28 to 417 of the family's 1533-position model. The record is from RNAcentral.
GACGAACGCUGGCGGCGUGCUUAACACAUGCAAGUCGAGCGGUAAGGCCCUUUCGAGGGUACACGAGCGGCGAACGGGUGAGUAACACGUGGGUGACCUGCCCUCAGCUCUGGGAUAAGCCUGGGAAACCGGGUCUAAUACCGGAUAUGACUCCAUGACGCAUGUUGUGGGGUGGAAAGCCUUGUGCGGCUGAGGAUGGGCCCGCGGCCUAUCAGCUUGUUGGUGGGGUGANGGCCUACCAAGGCGACGACGGGUAGCCGGCCUGAGAGGGCGACCGGCCACACUGGGACUGAGACACGGCCCAGACUCCUACGGGAGGCAGCAGUGGGGAAUCUUGCGCAAUGGGCGAAAGCCUGACGCAGCGACGCCGCGUGAGGGAUGACGGCCU